Molecule: ribosomal RNA, 889 nt
Filed under: uncultured Methanosaeta sp.
Lineage: Archaea; Methanobacteriati; Methanobacteriota; Methanomicrobia; Methanotrichales; Methanotrichaceae
Description: bacterial SSU rRNA
Rfam family: Archaeal small subunit ribosomal RNA
Source: RNAcentral
CAGAGGUUACUGCUAUCGAGAUUCGACUAAGCCAUGCGAGUUGAAUGUUCUUCGUGAACAUGGCGGACUGCUCAGUAACACGUGGACAACCUACCCUUGGGUCCGGCAUAAUCCUGGGAAACUGGGAAUAAUUCCGGAUAGGUCACCGAUGCUGGAAUGCGCGGUGGCCGAAAGCUCCGGCGCCCGAGGAUGGGUCUGCGGCCUAUCAGGGUUGUAGUGGGUGUAACGUACCUACUAGCCUACGACGGGUACGGGUUGUGAGAGCAAGAGCCCGGAGAUGGAUUCUGAGACACGAAUCCAGGCCCUACGGGGUGCAGCAGGCGCGAAAACUUUACAAUGCGGGAAACCGUGAUAAGGGGAUCUCGAGUGCCAGCAUAUAAUGUUGGCUGUCCAGAUGCCUAAAAAGCAUCUGUUAGCAAGGGCCGGGCAAGACCGGUGCCAGCCGCCGCGGUAACACCGGCGGCCCGAGUGGUAACCGCUAUUAUUGGGUCUAAAGGGUCUGUAGCCGGCCAGGUAAGUCCCUUGGGAAAUCUGGCAGCUCAACUGUCAGGCUGCUAGGGGAUACUGUUUGGCUUGGGACCGGGAGAGGUGAGAGGUACCUUGGGGGUAGGGGUGAAAUCUUGUGAUCCUCGAGGGACCACCAGUGGCGAAGGCGUCUCACCAGAACGGGUCCGACGGUAAGGGACGAAAGCUAGGGGCACGAACCGGAUUAGAUACCCGGGUAGUCCUAGCCGUAAACGAUGCUCGCUAGGUGUCAGUCACGGUGCGACCGUGAUUGGUGCCGUAGGGAAGCCGUGAAGCGAGCCACCUGGGAAGUAUGGCCGCAAGGCUGAAACUUAAAGGAAUUGGCGGGGGAGCACUACAWCGGGYGGAGCCUGCGGUUUAAUUG